RNAcentral lists this long non-coding RNA (3033 nucleotides) under Sinocyclocheilus grahami. RNAcentral describes it as "lncRNA (ENSSGRG00000018860.1)". The record is from RNAcentral. Lineage: Eukaryota; Metazoa; Chordata; Actinopteri; Cypriniformes; Cyprinidae.
AGAAAAAACGCUUUAAAGCGUUUUGAACGUUCAGAUAGCAAACAGAAAUAACGUUUUCGUGACUUAAUGGGAAUGUUAUUAAACGUUCUAGAACAUAUUUUUGGUGGCUGAAAAAAGUCUACAGAUGAGAAAAGUCUCGCGGAUGCUUUUGAGAUACGGCCACAGAAUCUCAGUACAGUAACGUUACAUAGGAAAUGACUCAGAGGAGUUGAACCCAACGCGUGGGUGUGGGCCAUAGUGGGCGCUAUUAAAACAAGACUGAAAGUUUGGGGUGGGUCAUUCACACGCGCUGCUUUUGCUAUGCUUGAACCCCAUUUGUGGCUUUUAAUCUUUUGAAAUCGCUGUGGGAUUUCAAUAUAUAUAAAGCUCAAUGGAUUCCGGUGCUAUGUUGCGUUGCAUCUAUUGGAUUACUCUAUUGAUCGCCACUCUUAUUCAUGGAACAAACGCGGAUAAAAGUUCAGCCCUUUGUUUGAAAUCCGAAUUCUGGAACAGAGAUGUCGCACAAUGUGUACCUUGUCAAAUAUGCAAACAGUAUCCGAAAACUCCAUCAUGUGACACAUGCCCACCCAUAGAGCCUUCAGAUUCCUGGAGGGUGGCAGCAAUUACCAGUUUAUCUGUCCUGGCAGCCGUAAUUGUUUGCGGAGCCUUGCUCAUAGGCAUUCUAGUGCAUCAAUUCAGGUCCAAGAGGACUUUACGUGAACCGAUUGAAGAGACAACAGGACCCCUUUAUCAAGUAUAGGAUCUUCAUAAGGUAAGGGUUGAAAACGGCAACACUUCUUAGGAUGCUUCGAAAUGCGUUAAGGAAAUUAGUUUUGUUCAUAUGCAAUCUUUUAAAUGUUUUCAGCUCAUGGAACUCAAGCUGACGAAAAUGAAAAUGGACUGUUACUCCAGUGAAUUAAUGCUCCAGUUGGUAAACGCUGGCUAGUACCUCAACCACAGAGUGUUCUAUGAGUAGCAUCUGAUUUGUCUAACUUAUUACAUUAGUAGGCUAUGUCAUGCAUAGCAAAUGGUUAUGCACAAAAGCUGCACUGAGACCUUCCUUGUCACUCACUGUGCAGAAUAGGUUUGCAAGCCUUGGUGCUAAGUGACAUCCUAUGGACAGCAUGAUAGCACUGUUUUUGCAGAAAUUUGAGGUCAUUCAUGUUGCACUUAGUGCACUGUAGAUGCAUUCCCACUUGAAUAUUCCUUGUUAGAUUUGUGAACAUGAUAAACAAAUAACCACAAACCGUUUAAUAUAGUAGACUUAGAGAUCAACUUUUUUAUACAAAUAUGCCUCCCUAAACAGAUUUAGUAUGGCACAGCCAUUUGAAUGUAUUUGUAAUCAUUGUUUGUACAGUUUAAUUAUCUAUUUUUAUAGUGUUGGAAUACUACGCACUGUAUAGAUGUAGCCCUUUGUACAACAAUGUUCUGACACUGACUGGCUCAGCAGCCUGUCUAUAGCAUUGAUGAACGUUCUGGAGACACUGAAGACCAGCGAAGCAACAGAAGGUGAUAACCUGAAAGACAAGAGUCGCCAGCUGACAUUAACAAACUCUUUGAGAAAGAGUCGCAGGUGUCAGAUUCCAUCAGAUUUUUGCUGCCUUUAUACGCAUAAGAGAUUAGAUAGUUUAGAGUGAUAUUUACAUGUAAGUAGUGAUAUUUACAUACAUGCAAUACAUUUAAUCUCCCGUGUUUUAUAAUUUCAGCUUACUAAAAUGUUUUGAAACGCAGUUUUAGAUGCGUGUAGCCAGCUGUGGGCAUUAUGGAAUGUAUAUAUUUAUAUACAGCAGAUGCUGAGUAAUCAACUUGUUUGAAUGACAAGAGGUUAAUCUCAUGAAACCUGUGAAGAACAUGUUUGAGUAACAUUUCAACCCAGAAUCAAAAGAAUUCAAUAAGAAAUAUUUUGCUUAAAGAAUUUGUUGCAUUGUUUUCAAGAAAACUUAAGCACACUUUAUACCCCAGUUCCCAAGAAUACUUUAUGUCCAUUCAUGUUGCACUUAGUGCACUGUAGAUGCAUUCCCACUUGAAUAUUCCUUGUUAGAUUUGUGAACAUGAUAAACAAAUAACCACAAACCGUUUAAUAUAGUAGACUUAGAGAUCAACUUUUUUUAUACAAAUAUGCCUCCCUAAACAGAUUUAGUAUGGCACAGCCAUUUGAAUGUAUUUGUAAUCAUUGUUUGUACAGUUUAAUUAUCUAUUUUUAUAGUGUUGGAAUACUACGCACUGUAUAGAUGUAGCCCUUUGUACAACAAUGUUCUGACACUGACUGGCUCAGCAGCCUGUCUAUAGCAUUGAUGAACGUUCUGGAGACACUGAAGACCAGCGAAGCAACAGAGGGUGAUAACCUGAAAGACAAGACUCGCCAGCUGACAUUAACAAACUCUUUGAGAAAGAGUCGCAGGUGUCAGAUUCCAUCUGAUUUUUGCUGCCUUUAUACACAUAAGAGAUUAGAUAGUUUAGAGUGAUAUUUACAUGUAAGUAGUGAUAUUUACAUACAUGCAAUACAUUUAAUCUCCCGUGUUUUAUAAUUUCAGCUUACUAAAAUGUUUUGAAACGCAGUUUUAGAUGCGUGUAGCCAGCUGUGGGCAUUAUGGAAUGUAUAUAUUUAUAUACAGCAGAUGCUGAGUAAUCAACUUGUUUGAAUGACAAGAGGUUAAUCUCAUGAAACCUGUGAAGAACAUGUUUGAGUAACAUUUCAACCCAGAAUCAAAAGAAUUCAAUAAGAAAUAUUUUGCUUAAAGAAUUUGUUGCAUUGUUUUCAAGAAAACUUAAGCACACUUUAUACCCCAGUUCCCAAGAAUACUUUAUGUACCUCAUUGUGAAUCACUGCCAUGUUUGUCAGAAAUCUAGGAACAUCAAGAAGCUAGUCCAGAAUCUUUAUCGAUAAACAUAAACCUGUGAAGCAUGCACGGCGCUGUCACAGUCUUAAGAAAAGUUGGUUGUGUAUUUGUGCCUUUACUCAUUCACAAUUACUCCACAGACUGCAGAGGAAACUAUGCAUUUUAAUACAAUAAAGAGACAACUAACGUACUGUAUUUGUCUGUUGAUGUUUUU